AGAACGAACGCUGGCGGCAGGCUUAACACAUGCAAGUCGAACGCCCCUUCGGGGGAGUGGCAGACGGGUGAGUAACGCGUGGGAAUCUACCCAGCUCUACGGAAUAACUGAGGGAAACUUCAGCUAAUACCGUAUACGUCCUUCGGGAGAAAGAUUUAUCGGAGUUGGAUGAGCCCGCGUUGGAUUAGCUAGUUGGUGGGGUAAUGGCCUACCAAGGCGACGAUCCAUAGCUGGUCUGAGAGGAUGAUCAGCCACACUGGGACUGAGACACGGCCCAGACUCCUACGGGAGGCAGCAGUGGGGAAUAUUGGACAAUGGGCGCAAGCCUGAUCCAGCCAUGCCGCGUGAGUGAUGAAGGCCCUAGGGUUGUAAAGCUCUUUCAACGGUGAAGAUAAUGACGGUAACCGUAGAAGAAGCCCCGGCUAACUUCGUGCCAGCAGCCGCGGUAAUACGAAGGGGGCUAGCGUUGUUCGGAAUUACUGGGCGUAAAGCGCGCGUAGGCGGAUUGAUCAGUCAGGGGUGAAAUCCCGGGGCUCAACCCCGGAACUGCCUUUGAUACUGUCAAUCUAGAGGUCGAGAGAGGUGAGUGGAAUUCCGAGUGUAGAGGUGAAAUUCGUAGAUAUUCGGAGGAACACCAGUGGCGAAGGCUGGUCAUCGAGCUGAGCUCGAUUCUGACGCUG
This 680-nucleotide ribosomal RNA is filed under the name Phyllobacteriaceae bacterium Pbc-contq1a. RNAcentral describes it as "bacterial SSU rRNA". It matches the Rfam family "Bacterial small subunit ribosomal RNA", at positions 26 to 748 of the family's 1533-position model. The record is from RNAcentral. Lineage: Bacteria; Pseudomonadati; Pseudomonadota; Alphaproteobacteria; Hyphomicrobiales; Phyllobacteriaceae.